RNAcentral lists this long non-coding RNA (328 nucleotides) under Lactuca sativa (garden lettuce). Its description in RNAcentral is "long non-coding RNA (LSAT_LNC010250)". The record is from RNAcentral. Lineage: Eukaryota; Viridiplantae; Streptophyta; Magnoliopsida; Asterales; Asteraceae.
AUAUCUAAACUCCUUGGUUUCUUAAAAAUUUUAUUUCCAAAACCGAAACCUCCAGAAGGUUCGGGUUCGAUUUUCCAAAAUUUUAGUGAACCGAAACCAACCGAAGGUUCAGGUUCGGUUUUUCAAAAUUUUUUCUGAACCGAAACCAACCGAAGGUUCGGGUUCGGUUUCUCAAAAUUUUUCUGAACCGAAACCAACCGAAGGUUCGGGUUCGGUUUUUCAAAAUUUUUCUGAACCGAAACCAACCGAAGGUUCGGGUUCGGUUUUUCAAAAUUUUCCUCAACCGAAACCAACCGAACGCUCGGGUUCGGUUUUUCCAUUUUUUUUU